AGAGAACAAAACACGCGACAGGCGGGAACCCGGACCGCUCGUACAGACGAGAUGGCAGCCAGGCCAUUGAGUCUUUCCAGCACCAUUUGUCUUCCCUUUUCCUGAGGUGUAUCAUUGAGAGGAUCUGACAGGUACUGAAAUAUUAAUUUUUAUCUAAUUAUAUCUACUUUGCUGUCACUUUUGAGAGAUAUUUGUCUUUCAUAUGGAAUUCUAGAAACUGGAGGUUUAUUUUUUUUAAUUUUUUAUUUAUUUUUUGCCUUUUUUCCAUUUCUUGGGCUGCUCCCCCGGCAUAUACACGUUCCCAGACUAGGGGUCGAAUAGAAGCUGCAGUUGCCUGCCUAUGCCAGAGCCACAGCAACGUGGGAUCCAAGCCGCCUCUGCAACCUACACCACAGCUCACGGCAACACCAGAUCCUUAAACGAAUGAGCAAGGCCAGGGACCGAACCUGAAACCUCAUGGUCCCUAGGAUUCGUUAACCACUGAGCCACGAUGGGAACUCCUGGAGGUUUACCUUAAACAUAAUUAACUUAUUAUCCAGUUUUGUAUUCAGAGAACACUGAAGAGUUCAGAUUUGACCAAGAUGUUGAUGUUAACCCUGAAAU
RNAcentral lists this long non-coding RNA (603 nucleotides) under Sus scrofa (pig). RNAcentral describes it as "lncRNA (ENSSSCG00060037496.1)". The record is from RNAcentral. Lineage: Eukaryota; Metazoa; Chordata; Mammalia; Artiodactyla; Suidae.